Corvus hawaiiensis (hawaiian crow) is the source of this 1278-nucleotide RNA transcript. It is a transcript of the gene named nucleolar protein 8-like, with no coding region annotated. The transcript has 2 exons. The record is from RefSeq and is a predicted model, not a curated record. Lineage: Eukaryota; Metazoa; Chordata; Aves; Passeriformes; Corvidae.
AGCAAAAUCCUGGAGCUGACCCCAGGAUUCAAGAACAUUUUAUUAGUUACUGAAUUCUAUUCUUGGACCUUUAGAAAAUGGAAGCUGAAUGACACAUCAUCAUUGGCGUGUGCUAACCUCAGAUAAAAUGAGGCCUUAUGAAAUGAAGAUGAAACAAUAUUAAAUCAAGUCACAGUCUUGUAGGAAAGAAAAGAAACUGUGCAAAGUUACCCAAAAGAUUAAAAAACCCAAGGUGCUUUGUGUGCAACAACACAAAGCAACAAGCCCCCCACACUUCUGCUGAAUUCAGAAGGUAGUUAGUGUCUUCUGAAUGCAGCGAUCAAGGUUUAGGAAUACGUAGGAGAUGCCUAGAACAAAGUGGAAAAUACUGGAGCAGAGAUUUAGCUCAGAAAAUCUGAGGGGAGAAGAUUCUGUCCUUCUGAAAUCUGCCUUCUCCAGUAGCCUUACAUACUUGGACCAAUAAAACCGGUGAAAGUCACAUGGCAAGAGGAUCCACGUUUCCAAGACAGCAGUUCUGAGAGUGAUGAUGAGCCUGAACCAUCAGAAAUUGGAAAGGACCAAGAAAUGCAAGUUCCAUUUGUAUUUGUUCUCUCCUUGGUUGUCGUAGUUGGAUGCUGUGGGCAUAUUAAGAGCAGCACUCAGGAAACGGGAAACGGACAUUGCACACCUCUGAGCAGUGAAAGUCAUCUUGGAAAACCGUCUGUGCUGCACCGAGUCAAAACUCCCAGCAGCCCAUUUGAUGUGAAGCUGAAUAUGAAGAGAGAGAAGUUGAGCACAAGAAAUUAACUGGGUCGUUUUGGUUUGACCAAACCCAAACUGAGUUUGGCCAAAAGCCAAAGACACAGUCAGUUUUCUUUUAAAAAGUGGGGUUUUUAUAGAAGGCUCUGUUUGGUUACUGUGGAGUAAAGCUCUUCAAUGUUUACCAUUUCUCUGAAGCGCUGCAGCUCUAACUCGUGUUCAUGGAAUUUGAUAGUGCCUUUUAGGAUGCUAAAAUCCCUUUGUACUUGUCUAGGUUUCUUUCUUUACCACACACGGAAAGUGCUAGAGUCUUCUUCUUCUCCAAAGAUGAUGAACGCCUAAGAGGUACAACAGAACUUAUUCACCCCUUUUGUAUUUUUUUCCUUUUAAACUCUUACUGGAAUUCAGUGAGGAAAAAAUGCUGCCCGCUUAUGAAUGGUUUGUAGUCAACAUUUGCCACCCUUACUUGGGGUCUAGGUUGUGCUAGAAGCCCGUGAGGAAGUCCUGGCAAAAUAAAGGCUGAGCAGCUGUCUGGCUUUC